AAAACAACUUAAUACAUUUAUCUUUUUUUUUCAGCCAGUGAAUUCAAAUCCCUCUGCAACAAUUUUACUAGCAAGUCAAACUUCUACACGGCAAAUGUCUGUCCUAAUUAUGCAAAAGGAGCAGUCACAUACCCAUGAACCU
This 142-nucleotide long non-coding RNA is filed under the name Junco hyemalis (dark-eyed junco). Its description in RNAcentral is "lncRNA (ENSJHYG00000017959.1)". Lineage: Eukaryota; Metazoa; Chordata; Aves; Passeriformes; Passerellidae. The record is from RNAcentral.